Molecule: ribosomal RNA, 500 nt
Filed under: uncultured bacterium
Lineage: Bacteria
Description: partial 16S ribosomal RNA
Rfam family: Bacterial small subunit ribosomal RNA
Source: RNAcentral
AUUGAACGCUGGCGGAAUGCUUUACACAUGCAAGUCGAACGGCAGCACGGGGGCAACCCUGGUGGCGAGUGGCGAACGGGUGAGUAAUAUAUCGGAACGUGCCCAGUCGUGGGGGAUAACGUAGCGAAAGUUACGCUAAUACCGCAUACGAUCUACGGAUGAAAGCGGGGGAUCGCAAGACCUCGCGCGAUUGGAGCGGCCGAUAUUAGAUUAGGUAGUUGGUGAGGUAAAGGCUCACCAAGCCAACGAUCUGUAGCCGGUCUGAGAGGACGACCAGCCACACUGGGACUGAGACACGGCCCAGACUCCUACGGGAGGCAGCAGUGGGGAAUUUUGGACAAUGGGCGCAAGCCUGAUCCAGCCAUUCCGCGUGCAGGACGAAGGCCUUCGGGUUGUAAACUGCUUUUGUACGGAACGAAAAAGCCUUGGCUAAUACCCAGGGUCCAUGACGGUACCGUAAGAAUAAGCACCGGCUAACUACGUGCCAGCCGCCGCAGUAA